AUUGAACGCUGGCGGCGUGCCUAACACAUGCAAGUCGAGCGGCAGCGCGGGAGCAAUCCUGGCGGCGAGCGGCGGACGGGUGAGUAAUGCUUGGGAAUCUGCCUGUUAGUGGGGGACAACCCGGGGAAACUCGGGCUAAUACCGCAUACGCACUACGGUGGAAAGCCGGGGACCGCAAGGCCUGGCGCUAACAGAUGAGCCCAAGUCGGAUUAGCUAGUUGGUAGGGUAACGGCCACCAAGGCGACGAUCCGUAACUGGUCUGAGAGGACGACCAGUCACACCGGAACUGAGACACGGUCCGGACUCCUACGGGAGGCAGCAGUGGGGAAUAUUGGACAAUGGGGAAACCCUGAUCCAGCGACGCCGCGUGGGUGAAGAAGGCCUGCGGGUUGUAAAGCCCUUUCAGUGGGGAAGAAAAGCCUCGACCUAACACGUCGGGUCGUUGACGUAACCCAUAGAAGAAGCACCGGCUAACUCUGUGCCAGCAGCCGCCGC
Molecule: ribosomal RNA, 496 nt
Filed under: uncultured bacterium
Lineage: Bacteria
Description: bacterial SSU rRNA
Rfam family: Bacterial small subunit ribosomal RNA
Source: RNAcentral